Molecule: long non-coding RNA, 640 nt
Filed under: Fukomys damarensis (Damara mole-rat)
Lineage: Eukaryota; Metazoa; Chordata; Mammalia; Rodentia; Bathyergidae
Description: lncRNA (ENSFDAG00000028376.1)
Source: RNAcentral
AGACAACUUGCUCAUUAAACUAAAAUAAGAUGUGUGUUGGGCACUGAUUCCUCCAACCAUUUCCUGUGGUCUGAUGCCUUCAGAUACGUAAAAUGAUAUCCAAUUCCAUUUUGAGGUCCUUCCAGGUGUAAAUGUCUGUGAUGUCAACAGAUUUCAUUGGGCAAAGAUUGGGUUACGUGAUCUGCCACCUUGAAGUCUUGAAGACGACGAGAUCCCCGAAUUAUACAUAAUGACAUGGUCCCUUUCCAGGCAGCUCACUGGAGGACUGCUAUGAAAGGCUUCUCCUCUGACUUGGACUUUCCCACUCAUGCACUUGGACUUUCCCAGCACCUGCCACACAGCCUUGAUAGUAGAGCAGUGAGAUGCUCAUUGUGAAGGAAUUUUCUUCAGAGAAUGAAAGCAGAAAUAACCAAGUGACAAGGACAAUAAGCAGAUCAGACACUCAGCAGCUGUCCACGAAGACAUGGAACAACAGAUGUCAGGAAACCAGGGAGUAGCUGCGUCGUCCUAUCACACAGCAGAGCCACGACUCAUUUGAGGGAAGUAUUUUGAUGUUUCCCAGAUUUUAAAAUAAAAGUGAUGAGGUAGUCUUUAAAUUCAAACUCGAAACUUUUCAAUGUGUGCUCUACCUACUCAUCCC